This is a long non-coding RNA of Oryctolagus cuniculus (rabbit), 1691 nucleotides long. NCBI's taxonomy places the organism in Eukaryota, Metazoa, Chordata, Mammalia, Lagomorpha, Leporidae. The record is from Ensembl.
AUGCGAAGGCAGGAGCCAGGUGUUUCUCCUGGUCUCCCAUCGGGUGCAGGGCCCAAGCACUUGGGCCAUCUUCCACUGCACUCCCGGGCCACAGCAGAGAGCUGGCCUGGAAGAGGGGCAACCGGGACAGAAUCUGGUGCCCCGACCGGGACUAGAACCUGGUGUGCCGAUGCCGCAAGGCGGAGGAUUAGCCUAUUGAGCCACAGCGCCGGCCCAAGACUCAGAAUUUCUGGAAGAUCCCGCUGCAAACAGAUCCUCACGCGUCCCGGGAACUGGCGAGCUGCAGCGCGGGCCGGAAGUGCGGCAGCAGUGACGUCACAGGUGAGUGACGUCACAGGUGAGCGCUGUCCUGGGACGAAAACCUGGCUGCGCUGGGAUUUUUGCACCUCCUGAUCACGAGAAAUUCCAAGCCCACGAGGGCCUGGCCGCUCACGUCAGACACAGCCAGGAGGAAGAUCCAUGUGGAAGGCCCAUUUGUCUGUCUGCAGAAGAACUGGCCCGGCACAGCCAGAGAGCCAGGCCCUCCUCUCACCUGGGCGGGCGGUUCUGUGCCUGAGCAGUUCCUUACCCAGAAGCACUUUGCAAAGAAUUCCCACCUGAUCCUUCCGCGAGCCUUGUCCCUAGAGCUCAGGAAGCUGAGGCUCAGAUUGCCUGAGUCAUCACACUCGGCCCCCUCUAGGAAUGCAGACACCAAGUUCAUGGCUGUCUUCUUCUGUCCGCAGAGAAUGCUAGAUAAAGCCCUCCUGAACAGUCCAGAACCCUCAAAGGCCUGGGAAAGCCUGAGAAAGGAGUCAGGGAAUCAGCAAGUUUCGGUUCUGCCAAGAAACAAAUGGAACGUCAGGGACCCGGACCCACCGUCCCUGGGGCCCCAGCUUCCAUCCAAGCCGCCCCCACACAUCUUGACUUUGUGGUAGGGUCCUUGAAAUUCCAUUUCCCAACUUCCUGGCAGCUCUUAGGGCAGCGGAUGGUAAUCCCGUUAGUGUUGGCCACAGUCCCCACUUGCUCUGGGGCAGGCUGCCUCCUCCCCCACACGAUUGCCUGGCCCGCCAGCCAGCAGUCUCGCUGGGGAUUCCGCACCCUUGCCAAGACCCCUCCUACCGCGUGGAAGCGGUUCGUGCGAGUGAGUGAUGUCGCAUGUCCCACACUACCAUCCACCCUGCCUCUGCCCUGCUCACCCACCCGACAGUCCCCACCCCACCUCCUGCUUUCAUAAGCGUGUGCUGUGUGAGGGGAUACGGCCCUGGGACACGGCCAGCUUUGCAGGAGCAGGGAGCUCAGCACCUCCAGACCUGGGACAGCCGUGUGCUCCUCUCAUCUGGGGCAUCAUUUGUGGGCUCCCCCUUGAGGAACUCAGCACCUCUCACUGCUGCUGGCUGCUUCUGGCUCCUUCUAAGGAAGUCCCCAACCCCCUCAGGGUCAUGAGUCCUCAGGAACAGGAAUCUAAAUGACACGGAGACAGAACAGUACUGACAGUACCUGCUGUUUGUAAUUAAAGUCCAACAAAGUGCCUUUUAUGUCAUCUCUCAAUUAUCCACGAGAUUAGUCCAGGGAGUGGUACAAAGUAGAAAAUCGCAAUCACCUUGUGUGUUGUGCUUGACAGUUUACAGCAUAUUUCUUUAUUUGAAAAUAUUUAAAAUGUGUUGUUUUUCUUAAUUUUCAGAAUAAAGCUGGGUGUGUUACAUAUGGAUCCA